UCUCGCGUCAGGAUAUGCCUAGGUGGGAUAAGCUAGUUGGUGAGGUAAUGGCUCACCAAGGCGACGAUCCCUAGCUGGUCUGAGAGGAUGAUCAGCCACACUGGAACUGAGACACGGUCCAGACUCCUACGGGAGGCAGCAGUGGGGAAUAUUGCACAAUGGGCGCAAGCCUGAUGCAGCCAUGCCGCGUGUGUGAAGAAGGCCUUCGGGUUGUAAAGCACUUUCAGUCGUGAGGAAGGUGGUGUAGUUAAUAGCUGCAUUACUUGACGUUAGCGACAGAAGAAGCACCGGCUAACUCCGUGCCAGCAGCCGCGGUAAUACGGAGGGUGCGAGCGUUAAUCGGAAUUACUGGGCGUAAAGCGCAUGCAGGUGGUUUGUUAAGUCAGAUGUGAAAGCCCGGGGCUCAACCUCGGAAUAGCAUUUGAAACUGGCAGACUAGAGUACUGUAGAGGGGGGUAGAAUUUCA
RNAcentral lists this ribosomal RNA (466 nucleotides) under Vibrio harveyi. RNAcentral's name for it is "bacterial SSU rRNA". It matches the Rfam family "Bacterial small subunit ribosomal RNA", at positions 213 to 671 of the family's 1533-position model. Lineage: Bacteria; Pseudomonadati; Pseudomonadota; Gammaproteobacteria; Vibrionales; Vibrionaceae. The record is from RNAcentral.